GGGGGGGGGGGGGGGGGGGGGGGGGGCGGGCGGGGCGGGCGGGGGGGCGGGGGGGGUGCUGCUCGGGGGGGGGCGGCGGACGGGGGGGUAGCACGUGGAUAGCCUACCUGUCGGAGUGGGGUAACUUCGGGAACGCGGAGCUAGUACCGGAUAAUAUUUUGGCCCGCGUGGGUCAACAGUGCAAGCCGGUCUUGCUGUCACUUAUAGAUGGAUCCGCGCUGCAUUAGCUAUUUGGUCAGGUAACGGCUUCCCAAGGCAACGAUGCAUAGCCGACCUGAGAGGGUGAUCGGCCACACUGGAACUGAGACACGGUCCAGACUCCUACGGGAGGCAGCAGUAGGGAAUCUUCCGCAAUGGGCGAAAGCCUGACGGAGCAACGCCGCGUGAGUGAUGAAGGUCUUCGGAUCGUAAAACUCUGUUAUUAGGGAAGAACAUAUGUGUAAGUAACUGUGCACAUCUUGACGGUACCUAAUCAGAAAGCCACGGCUAACUACGUG
Molecule: ribosomal RNA, 497 nt
Filed under: uncultured bacterium
Lineage: Bacteria
Description: partial 16S ribosomal RNA
Rfam family: Bacterial small subunit ribosomal RNA
Source: RNAcentral